AAAACAGGAGCGGUUCGCCCUAUAAGGAAAUUCCCCGCCUCCCAGCCCAUCAUGCCUUGCUGCCGACUUCCGGUUCUCCAGGGUAUAAAGCGGCGGCUCCGGGCCAAAUUUCAGGAGAAGCUUUGGUGCGAGCCUCUUGACUCUUCUGACCUGGAUCGUUUUCCCUGGAAUAAAUGGUGUCAGACUCGUUGCUAAAUAGUCUGACAACCAGAGGGGACGAGCCCAUGGCUGCCGAAGGUUCCAGGUCAGCCCCCAGAGCCCGGUGAAGCCACUCUACCUCCCGCUCGCUCUUCGCGUCUCAGGUAAUCUUCGAAGCAAGGGAAGAGAAGAGUAUGCUAUCCUGUCAUGACAUUUCUUUUCAAAAUACGUGGCUUAAAGAGGAACGGAAAGAGAAGUCAUUAUUUCCAAACUUCAAGGACAGAGAUCCUCUAGGAUUCUACCCAGUAUUGAGCUUGCAUUCCUGUUGUUUCAUGAGGACAAUGCAGAGGAACUCAUGUGUAUGCUGUGUAUGCAGUGGUUUGGAGUCACAAGUGAGGAAUACUGAGCCUGCAGAAGCCACUGUAUUAAUAUUAUGUCAAUUCUAAAACAGGGAAGAGAAAAUGAUUUGGCUCAUUUUGACUGAACGGUGAAAAUGACAGAUGGAGGCGCAGGAGAGUGUUCCACAUUCCUAAGGCUGUUGAUUCUACCAGGGGUGAAGAGGUAAGAGCAGCACAAUUAGUCAGGUGGGAAGAAAAUUAUACUCCUGCUGGAAGCAGGAUAGGACUCGUUAGAAUCUUUGCUUGACAAGAUUAAUCCGUCUGGUGUCAAAACUUCCAAUUAGCAUUCGGUAUUAUUCCCACUACUGAGCUCAUUCAGAACUUACAGUCGAAAAUCA
This 874-nucleotide long non-coding RNA is filed under the name Vulpes vulpes (red fox). RNAcentral's name for it is "lncRNA (ENSVVUG00000025154.1)". Lineage: Eukaryota; Metazoa; Chordata; Mammalia; Carnivora; Canidae. The record is from RNAcentral.